GAGCUAAGAAACCUGAAAAACCAAGACAAGAUGCAAACUCUGAAAAGCAAUCCAAAUCAGAAAGAAAAUGAACUCCUUAUUGUUAAUGGCAAAUCCAUAUGGCUGCAUCCACCCAAAGAAGCCGCACUUGGUGCCAAGGUUAUGAGAUCACAAAGAGGGCAACCAACAGUGAAGACAGCAACCUGUUCUGAAAGAGAGAAGGUAAAAUCUUCCAUUUAUAUUCCAGAUAGCAAGAGAGAAGCAAGUAGCAGAGAAUCAAGUAAGAAGAACAAAUUACAGCAUUAUAUGGAGAACCUACUGCAGGUUCAGAUACACUUAUGGAAUUGUAAUAAUUGUUGUGCAUUUCAUAACCCUCUAUACCUUUUGACUACACGAAAAUAGAGAAGCCAUACUGUAUAUGAAAUGCUUUCCACUCUGCAGUAAUGGAGUUGCAGGCUCUUCAGAGCCUGGCUGUAUAUUUUGUCUAGAAACGUGGCUUUUAAAUUCCCCGUUGGCCAGUUGCGCACAUGCAAAACAGCCAUACAACCAUUUAAAGAAACUGCAGAGGAAAAUUAUCUGCUUCUCCCAUCACAUUACAGGUCUGCUUCAGUUUUGCUAUUUAUUUUUUUUAAAUACUGUACUACUAUCACGAUCACCAAAGGUAUAUUGCAGAAGAGUCCAGAAUCUCAGGCCUAACCACAAGAUAUGAAAAAAACAAAACAAAAGCCAACCCCACCCUGCUGUUUACUGAAGCCCGUGGCCUGUUUUUCCUCA
Molecule: long non-coding RNA, 753 nt
Filed under: Pogona vitticeps (central bearded dragon)
Lineage: Eukaryota; Metazoa; Chordata; Lepidosauria; Squamata; Agamidae
Description: lncRNA (ENSPVIG00000008084.1)
Source: RNAcentral